Molecule: transfer RNA, 72 nt
Filed under: Methanosaeta sp. PtaB.Bin039
Lineage: Archaea; Methanobacteriati; Methanobacteriota; Methanomicrobia; Methanotrichales; Methanotrichaceae
Also listed under: 2 other names
Description: tRNA-Cys
Rfam family: tRNA
About the family: Transfer RNA (tRNA) molecules are approximately 80 nucleotides in length.
Source: RNAcentral
GCCAAGGUGGCGGAACGGCCACGCAAUUGCCUGCAGAGCAAUACCAACCCGGUUCGACUCCGGGCCUUGGCU